CAUGGCUACUCCUGAGGCCUCCACGUGUUCCAACAACCACACCAAGCAGCCAUGCACAGGGGCUUUCUGGAGUGUCCAGGUUGUCUACCCCUCCACUCCCCGCUUCACCCCACUGCACAUAGUUGGAGCAUAAAGAGAUAACCCAGGCUGAAAGGGUGCCAAAAAGGUGCCAGAAAGGCUCAGGCCUCAGCUAAGAAUCAACAUCUCAGUCUGGAGAGCAGAUGUGGGAGGAGAUAAAAGAAAUAUUCUUGACUGAGAGACACUAUUUUACAGACUAUAAAAGACACACAAGUUAUCACAGAGGCAGAAGCCUCUUACACACACACCCUGAAGUGUUGGAGACUUCUCCCUGGAGCCUGGAUGCAGAUUCUGCGAUUACUUCCCUGGGGAUCGAGGGAAAGGAUCUCGAUGUGUGUCCCACCAACAACUGGAUGCCAUGGACAACUUGGAAAAAUCAUUCUUGGACAAGUGAUUCUCUUAUUGCCCAGCUACCCAUCAGAGGAUACGUGACUUUGGCACACUGCAGUGUUUCAUAUUUUGAUGGCCAGGGAGCAGCACAGCAGCCAUCACCAGCACUUACAGCCCAACCCAGCCAGAGACUGCUGCCCAAAAGCCCAGCCUUGGUCUCAUUUUGGAUCCUAGCCUCCUGCCACAGCCUUCCAGAUUAGUGGGUCCCAUGACCAUGCCAUAAGCUGGGUCAAGAGAUGCUCUGGCUGAAAAUGAAGGGCUCUCAAAAUUUGACUUUUGGGGGUCAGCCUGCUCCUGCCCAGGACUGCACCAAGACUGGGAGUCUCUAAAUAACCUCUGGCUGGCAGGCUCCCGUUGAUGGCAAGUGGAAAGUAGCACAGCUAGAGACUUUGCCGUGCAUUGUUCAUGUGUUUGCCAGGAAAUUUGGGAGAGAACUCCAGAGUUUUACUGCUGUGUUUCAUUGGAAUGGCCCCAGUUUUGCAACACCUGGUGUGUAGAAGGCUGUGCAGUGUCUGUAAUGUGCUUACAUUACAUUAAUUAAUACAUACAUUAUAAUUAAUGUGCUUACAUUACUUUAAUACAUACACUGUAUUAAGGAAUACAGCUUCAACCUCUUAAACCAUGACCCUUCAAGAUGAAGAACUGUAAGAACAUAACUUGAAUUGUUAAAACUUAAAAAAUAAAAACAACCAAAACUUAAAAAUAUAUAUUACUCCAAUCAUAAAGUGACAAAAUGAGCUCACUUUAGUAGCUGGAGCACUGCUAUUUUUGUAACUAAACCGCUGUUACUGCUUAUCAUUUACAGAGUGGGUGUUGAAUAGAUCAAGAAUGCAAACUUACCUUGUGGAAAAGUCAGGGUUGUGGAGAGGAGCUGAAAAGGUUUCCAAUUCAGAGAAAAAUCUUGUGACUUCAAAAAUCAGUAAUGGAUUAAAAUUUGCUUUCAAUUUAAUUUAGAACAGUGAACAUAUUUCCAACAAUUCAUUUGGAUAAUGUUUAUCCAUCUCAUUUGAGCUUCUCUUAUGUUAAAUAUGAUGUG
This is a long non-coding RNA of Cyanistes caeruleus (blue tit), 1504 nucleotides long. RefSeq lists it as uncharacterized. NCBI's taxonomy places the organism in Eukaryota, Metazoa, Chordata, Aves, Passeriformes, Paridae. The record is from RefSeq and is a predicted model, not a curated record.